GCCUGAACAUAAAAUAUUCGAGACCUUCCAAAUAAUUGGUCGCAAAUACUAUUAAAUAAUACAUACAUAAUUUUAAAAACACCUGGCACGAUGCCUUGAAGGAAUGCCGUGGAGUGGGUGCCCAUUUGGCGAGUCUGCAAAGCGAAGAUGAGGUAAAGGCAUUCCGCAGUAUCCUGAAUCAGUUCGCAAAGUAUUGGAUAUAUCUGAACGGUCAAGAAAUGGUAGGAAAAUCGAAUUCUUCCACUACGGGUGUCAUAGGAACCGAUGGUGACUUGCAGAAAGUCAAUCCCCAUCAUGACUACGGGAACUUUGGACAAUGCGUCGUGCUUCAGAGCUGUGGGUACGAGGUUCAACGACCAUGAAUCAAUUAUAUAAGGGCUCUGCGCUGUAAGUGUGAGUGAAACGACUAGGGAGUGUGCUGAUUAACCCUUUGAUGGCAUGGGGUUAAAAAUUGACCAUUGCAAGAAAAGGAGUUGAAGUUUUCUUUUAUAUUUUGACUUUUAAUACUUUACUACUUGAAGUGGUCGUUACUAUUGUUUUUGAAUAUAUACCUCUGUUCUGAGGCUCUUACUUAAAAUAAAUUGCAACUUUCUUGCUGCAAAAAAUAAUAUAUCGUACUGUGCGUGUGUAGGGAAGGGUCCUUCCGCGUCGACAAGCAAACAAGCACUGAACUCAAAGGGAAAUGAUACGAUGAAAGCUGCCGACGACGGGCCCUCCUUAUAUAAUUGUUUCAUGGCAACGACAUGACAUCCAAUUGUCUGAGAGGCGAACUUUGAUUUGCGAAUCGAAAAAUUCAAUAAAAACAACAAAGAAUAAACGACUUACUUUCCGUGUGUUUGAGAAUUGAUCAUUUAAGUUGGGCUGAAAAUCCCGGCGGUACUGCAAUACCGGGCCAACCCGCGACAGAGGUGGAGCAAGCCCCUAGCACUCCGUCUGAUUCCAAAAAUCAGUUUAACAUUUGUUGUUCUCCAAUGGAGAAACUAUCAGAUGUUAAGCUGAUAAGAACAGAUACUACACUUUGAUCUUAGCCAUAAGGCCGAGAAGCGAUAACCUAAACGUGGAAAACAACCACCACCUGAUGA
RNAcentral lists this long non-coding RNA (1082 nucleotides) under Drosophila guanche. Lineage: Eukaryota; Metazoa; Arthropoda; Insecta; Diptera; Drosophilidae. The record is from RNAcentral.